Hibiscus syriacus is the source of this 246-nucleotide long non-coding RNA. RefSeq lists it as uncharacterized. The transcript has 2 exons. NCBI's taxonomy places the organism in Eukaryota, Viridiplantae, Streptophyta, Magnoliopsida, Malvales, Malvaceae. The record is from RefSeq and is a predicted model, not a curated record.
AGUUUUAGAGAGAGGUGAUCGCCUAGAAUUGCUGGUUGACAAAACUGCUAGUAUGCAAGGAAAUACCUUUCGCUUCAGAAAGCAAUCUCGCCGUUAUAAGAACACAGUGUGGUGGAGAAAUGUCCGGUUUACGGUUGCUCUCAUAAUCCUCCUCCUGAUUAUUGGUUAUAUUGUGCUUGCUUUUGUUUGCCACGGGUUCACGAUACCUUCCUGUAUCUAAAACGGGGUAAACAGUUUGAGAGAUUC